Molecule: long non-coding RNA, 1283 nt
Filed under: Eucalyptus grandis
Lineage: Eukaryota; Viridiplantae; Streptophyta; Magnoliopsida; Myrtales; Myrtaceae
Description: long non-coding RNA (EGRA_LNC003383)
Source: RNAcentral
ACCUCUGCUGCCACUGCCACUGAUAGAUGGAUCGAGUGGUUGGAUAUGAUCGGGAGGAGAAGGAUAGCAAAGGAAUGAACUUUUGGACGCCGACACUGAUCGAUGGACUUUAAGUAUAUGACUGUUGGAGGAGAUGUCGGUCAUCUUUUGAAGUAUAGCCGAGUAUAGAAGAUUAUGGCAUUUUGAUGUACCAAUGAAUGAUGUCCAUCUGGUUUAAGUAAAUAAAAGUGUUUGGCUUUUACCUAUAAAUGUCUUAAUUGGUGUGCAUCGUUUUCUGAAUAUAGGGAAGGGAGUUGUUGGAUAUGCUUCCGUUAUAUGAACUGCGCAAGGGGCUGAUCUAAAAGAUGUAAACCCCCAGGUUGUAUGGACCCGCUGCAAUUGAAAUGGUAUCAGAGUGACAUAUUAUCAGGUUAAGUGAAGGGUAAGUGGUCUGUGGCGACCCUAAUGGUUCGGGGUCCGUCGAGGGGUGCCACAUGGUCUCACCAACAGAUUAACAUCACACCAGAGGAACAUAAUAUCCAUCGUAUUGAUGCCUGGUUAAGAAAUCUAUUAGCUCAGAGAACUGUCUUACUUGAUUUGGCGACGCUCGCGUAUAUACUGUGGCAGAUUUGGAAAGCGAGGAAUAACUUCGUCUUUUGCACAGUUCGCCCAGAUCCAUUACAGGUGGUUCAAAUUGCUCUUGUGAAUGCCCUUGUAGAUUGUCGCCUAUAUGAAGUGCGACUGGAAUCUCCAAUCCCAUCCUCUGAAUCUAAUCGGGUGUGGCGAACUCCGGCUCUUGGAAUCUUGAAGAUCAACAUUGAUGGAGCUUUUAUCCCAACGUCUCAUGAAGGCUCUGUGGCCUUGAUUACUCGAGAUCAUACUGGUCAGAUCGUUGCUAGAUUUACAAGGCGUGUCGCGGCCUCUUCGGCGCUGUAGACGGAAACUCAAGCUUUAAAUCUCACCCUUCGAGAAUUGUUGCAAAAAGGACAAGCGGAUCGAUCUCUUACCUUGGAAUCGGACUGCAAGAACUUAGUAGAUGCUGUGAAAAACCCUCACUUAACGCCAUGGGAGAUACGAGCACUGAUUGCAGAGGCUGCGGCGUUGCUCCAAGGGUUUCCUAAUCUGUGUGUAGUACACUGCCAUCGAGAAGCGAACGAAGCCGCCAACUGGGCUGCCAAAACCCACGAAGCUGGAAGCCCUCCGAAUUGGCCCUUUUCUAUUCCCCCUCUUUUGGAUAUUGUCUCUACUGACCUUAUGGCAAAUGGUGUAAAUCAUCGUUAAUGUUAUAAAAUAUUUCCUUUUUC